This 701-nucleotide ribosomal RNA is filed under the name uncultured Lachnospiraceae bacterium. RNAcentral describes it as "bacterial SSU rRNA". It matches the Rfam family "Bacterial small subunit ribosomal RNA", at positions 51 to 751 of the family's 1533-position model. Lineage: Bacteria; Bacillati; Bacillota; Clostridia; Lachnospirales; Lachnospiraceae. The record is from RNAcentral.
ACACAUGCAAGUCGAGCGAAGCACUUAACCGGAUCUCUUCGGAUUGAAACUUAUUUGACUGAGCGGCGGACGGGUGAGUAACGCGUGGGUAACCUGCCUCAUACAGGGGGAUAACAGUUAGAAAUGGCUGCUAAUACCGCAUAAGCGCACAGGACCGCAUGGUCUGGUGUGAAAAACUCCGGUGGUAUGAGAUGGACCCGCGUCUGAUUAGCUAGUUGGAGGGGUAACGGCCCACCAAGGCGACGAUCAGUAGCCGGCCUGAGAGGGUGAACGGCCACAUUGGGACUGAGACACGGCCCAGACUCCUACGGGAGGCAGCAGUGGGGAAUAUUGCACAAUGGGGGAAACCCUGAUGCAGCGACGCCGCGUGAAGGAAGAAGUAUCUCGGUAUGUAAACUUCUAUCAGCAGGGAAGAAAAUGACGGUACCUGACUAAGAAGCCCCGGCUAACUACGUGCCAGCAGCCGCGGUAAUACGUAGGGGGCAAGCGUUAUCCGGAUUUACUGGGUGUAAAGGGAGCGUAGACGGAAGAGCAAGUCUGAUGUGAAAGGCUGGGGCUUAACCCCAGGACUGCAUUGGAAACUGUUUUUCUAGAGUGCCGGAGGGGUAAGCGGAAUUCCUAGUGUAGCGGUGAAAUGCGUAGAUAUUAGGAGGAACACCAGUGGCGAAGGCGGCUUACUGGACGGGUAACUGACGUUGAGG